GACGACCCCGAUACGCAUACCCCCACUGUAGAUGAAGUAAAAGCAUUUCUCGCCCGCAUCAAACUGCCCCAACUAUCGAGUAGCCAAAUCGAAACCCUAACAUGCCCCCUCACCGUGAAAGAGAUAUUAGACACUAUCAAAGAGUUACCGAAUGGCAAGUCCCCCGGAGCGGAUGGGCUCUCAAACCUCUAUUACAAAAAGUAUGCCCAAACAUUGGC
Molecule: non-coding RNA, 218 nt
Organism: Pelobates cultripes (western spadefoot toad)
Lineage: Eukaryota; Metazoa; Chordata; Amphibia; Anura; Pelobatidae
Source: the annotation of a GenBank genome assembly